Molecule: ribosomal RNA, 459 nt
Filed under: uncultured bacterium
Lineage: Bacteria
Description: bacterial SSU rRNA
Rfam family: Bacterial small subunit ribosomal RNA
Source: RNAcentral
UACGGGAGGCAGCAGUGGGGAAUAUUGCACAAUGGGCGAAAGCCUGAUGCAGCUAUGCCGCGUGUAUGAAGAAGGCCUUAGGGUUGUAAAGUACUUUCAUCGGGGAGGAAAAAACAAAACUAAUAAUUUUAUUUCUUGACGUUACCCGAAAAAGAAGCACCGGCUAACUCCGUGCCAGCAGCCGCGGUAAUACGGAGGGUGCUAGCGUUAAUCAGAAUUACUGGGCGUAAAGAGCACGUAGGUGGUUUUUUUAAGUCAGAUGUGAAAUCCCUGGGCUUAACCUAGGAACUGCAUUUUGAAACUGAAAUACUAGAGUAUCGUAGAGGGAGGUAGAAUUCUAGGUGUAGCGGUGAAAUGCGUAGAUAUCUGGAGGAAUACCUGUGGCGAAAGCGGCCUCUAAACGAAUACUGACACUGAGGUGCGAAAAGCGUGGGGAGCGAAAACAGGGAUUAGGAUACC